Molecule: ribosomal RNA, 252 nt
Filed under: uncultured bacterium
Lineage: Bacteria
Description: partial 16S ribosomal RNA
Rfam family: Bacterial small subunit ribosomal RNA
Source: RNAcentral
UACGUAGGGUGCGAGCGUUAAUCGGAAUUACUGGGCGUAAAGCGUGCGCAGGCGGUUUUGUAAGUCAGAUGUGAAAUCCCCGAGCUCAACUUGGGAACUGCGUUUGAAACUACAAGACUAGAAUAUGUCAGAGGGGGGUAGAAUCCACGUGUAGCAGUGAAAUGCGUAGAGAUGUGGAGGAAUACCAAUGGCGAAGGCAGCCCCCUGGGAUAAUAUUGACGCUCAUGCACGAAAGCGUGGGGAGCAAACAGG